RNAcentral lists this long non-coding RNA (1257 nucleotides) under Pan troglodytes (chimpanzee). RNAcentral's name for it is "long non-coding RNA NONPTRT012726". Lineage: Eukaryota; Metazoa; Chordata; Mammalia; Primates; Hominidae. The record is from RNAcentral.
CCUCAAUAAAAACCUGCUGGUUUUGUGGCUCAGGUGGACAUCACGGUCCUACCGAUAUGUGAUUCAGCCCCGGAGUCCCAGCUGUAAAGUUCCUCUCUUUGUACUCUUUCUAUUUAUUUCUCAGCCAGCCAACACUUAUGGAAAAUAGAAAGAACCUAUGCUGAAAUAUUGGGAGCUGGUUCCCCCGAUAUCUGGUGCGCCAACAUGGUUUUCUUUUUCCUAAGUGCAUGUGGGAACCCGAUUCCCUUUGGUAGGUGCAGUGAAACGUUCAUCGGUCCGGUCCACAGAAACGCUUGUUUGGCUCCCUGACGAUUGGCACGUCCAGUGCAGCGCCCAAUUUUCUGGAGCUCAUCCUGUCUCCUGAAUUUUCAACCAUGCACUCUACCUUGGCUCUGCUGUGGCCAGCUGACUUCCGGUGGGGCCUCUGCAAUCCUGCCACCUAAGGGCCACCAGCCAUACUCCUGGUGUCCCUGGCUCCUGUCUGAAGUGCCACACUUGCAGGGCAUGGGGUGGUAUCACUGGAGCCAAAUGAUGAACCCUGGGAAGCUGAGUUGUUACCUUGCAAUGAGGUUGUUCUGGUGACUACUCAGGUGUGACAAAGUACCCCAAAGUUUAGGGGUUUAUAACAACCAUUUAAUUAGGCUUUAAUGAGUUCUGUGGGUCAGUAGGGCACAGUAGGACUGGCAUGUCUCUGCUCUUCAAUGUCUGAGGCCUCAGCUGAGGAGACAAUGGCUGGGAGUGCCCCCACAGCUGUGGGCUAGAAUCAUAUGAACGUAUAUCCAUGCAGGUGGGGCUGCGUGCUGGGGCCAUAGCUGGAGCUGUCACCCAGAGCCCUUACACGUGGGCUCACAUGGUGCCCUUCAGGUAGCUGAUUUCUCUCAUGGCAGCCGAGGGCUCCAAGCAUGAGGGCCCCGGUGAAUAAAGCAGAAGCUGCCCAGCAUCACUCCUGCUGCGUGUCCCCACCUCAAGACGGGAGAAAUGGCAAAGAAUUUGCAGUUCUGUUUAAAAACUGCCAUGGGGAAAACUGCCCCAAUGGGAGAUGAGGUGUAGAAGACAAAGUCCUGAGAACACAUGGACACAUGGAGGGAACACACACACCAGAUCCUUUCUGAGGGUGGAGGGUGGGAGGAGGGAGAGGAUCAGGAAAAAUAAUGAAUGGGUACUAGGCUUAAUACCUGGGUAAUGAAAUAAUCUGCACAACCAACCCCGUGACACACGUUUAUGUAUGUAACAAACCUGCAUAUGUACUCCCGAACU